Long non-coding RNA from Parasteatoda tepidariorum (common house spider), 643 nucleotides. The record is from RefSeq and is a predicted model, not a curated record. Lineage: Eukaryota; Metazoa; Arthropoda; Arachnida; Araneae; Theridiidae.
CGUCUGUCUUGAGUCUAGGACAGAAAAUACUUUCCAUCUUUCUUACCUGGUUUUACCUUGAGUAGUCUAGACUUGCAUCGCUAUUACUUUAUCCAAAAUAAUAUUGUAAACAUUAUUUAGUUUACGGUUUUGUUGUAAAGCAAAUGGGACCAUUUUUUUCUCAUUAGUUUUUUUUUUUUUUCCUUAAAAGGUUAAAAGAGUUAAUUUGUGUGUUGAUUGCUUGACUUUUAGUCGAAACUAGUCAAUCUAUAGAAUAGACAUGAAACUGAAAAAGUACCAAAACAAACCACUUAAAAAGAAUUCUUUUUCGAAGGUCAGUGCCUUCUUUCCCAAAGAUGCCCAUCCAGGGAGGCAGGAAGCAGACGAUCCGAUUACUAAAGAUUGCGGCAGUUUUACACUCCCCCCUAUCGUAAAUUUUGGAGAUUGGGGGUCGGCUUCUUUUUCCCAAUGCCCCACAACCAAUUAGAGAAGUUGGAAAACAAGGAUGCUACUGCUAACACUUGGUAAAUAGAAGAAAAGAUAAAAUGUUGAUUUUUCUCAGAAAACGAAAAAUAUUUCAUUUCACUUUUUUUUGUGCAGUGUAUUUUCUUAAAUUACACAAGACUUUAUUUUAGUUUAAUAAACAGCAUUACUUACCUACCAA